Molecule: non-coding RNA, 72 nt
Organism: Microplitis demolitor
Lineage: Eukaryota; Metazoa; Arthropoda; Insecta; Hymenoptera; Braconidae
Source: the annotation of a RefSeq genome assembly
UCCGGUAUAGUGUAGGGGUUAUCAUUCCUGGUUUUCACCCAGGCGACCCGGGUUCGAUUCCCGGUACCGGAA